UCCCAGAAAUUUCGUUACCGUGAAAAAAUUAGAGUGUUCAAAGCAGGCAGAUCCAAUUUUCUGCCACCGAAUACAUUAGCAUGGGAUAAUGGAAUAGGACCUGUCCUCCUAUUUUCAGUUGUUUUGGCAGCGCGAGACUAGGCCCGUCCC
This 150-nucleotide ribosomal RNA is filed under the name Acanthamoeba sp. LUC6. RNAcentral describes it as "partial 18S ribosomal RNA". The record is from RNAcentral. Lineage: Eukaryota; Discosea; Longamoebia; Acanthamoebidae.